Molecule: long non-coding RNA, 752 nt
Filed under: Vigna radiata
Lineage: Eukaryota; Viridiplantae; Streptophyta; Magnoliopsida; Fabales; Fabaceae
Description: long non-coding RNA (VRAD_LNC010917)
Source: RNAcentral
CAAAUUUGCGUCUGUCUCCUACGUCGGAUGCCCAGUUUUCACCUUAUGUUGGUGGGAUGGCGUUUUCUCCCACCUCAUCUCCUGGGUACAGUCCAUCCUCUCCAGGCUAUAGUCCAUCAUCGCCUGGGUACAGCCCCACAUCACCUGGGUACAGUCCCACAUCUCCCGGCUACAGUCCCACAUCACCAGGUUACAGUCCGACCUCUCCCACAUAUAGCCCUAGUUCUCCAGGAUAUAGUCCUACAAGUCCGGCUUAUUCACCAACCAGUCCAUCCUACUCUCCCACAUCACCCAGCUAUAGCCCAACAUCACCCAGCUACAGUCCUACAUCACCCAGCUACAGCCCCACAUCACCCAGUUAUAGCCCGACUUCUCCCAGCUACAGCCCGACUUCACCUGCAUACAGCCCAACUUCACCUGCCUAUAGCCCCACUUCACCUGCUUACAGUCCCACUUCACCUUCAUACAGUCCUACGUCACCUUCAUACAGCCCCACUUCACCCUCUUACAGCCCUACCUCCCCAUCAUAUAGCCCUGCUUCCCCUGCUUACAGCCCCACUUCACCUGGAUACAGCCCUACGUCACCCUCAUAUAGCCCAACAUCCCCAUCGUAUAGUCCUACUUCCCCAUCGUAUAGUCCUACUUCCCCUAGUUACAAUCCCCAGUCAGCAAAGUACAGUCCUUCGUUAGCAUAUUCUCCAAGCAGUCCAAGAUUGUCUCCAUCAAGUCCAUAUAGUCCCACAUCCCCAACC